Molecule: ribosomal RNA, 119 nt
Filed under: Scophthalmus maximus (turbot)
Lineage: Eukaryota; Metazoa; Chordata; Actinopteri; Pleuronectiformes; Scophthalmidae
Source: RNAcentral
GCUUAUGGCCACACCGCCUGGUUCACGGCUGAUCUCGUUUGAUCUCGGAAGCUAAGAUAGGUUAGGCCUGGUUAGUACUUGGAUGGGAGACCGCCUGGGAAUACCAGGUGCUGUAACUU